GGUGAACGCUGGCGGUAUGCCUAACACAUGCAAGUCGAACGGCAACACAAUAAGGGCUUUCUCUUACCGGUGGCGGGGGGCGGGCGGGUGAGGAAUACAUCAACAUCUUCUUUUUCUUGGUGGAAAACGUGGGACAACAUACACUAAUACCUCAUACUACCAACCGGAUGGAUCAAUGGAGAAUCAGGGCUUUCGCGUUUGCAUUAGCCGGUGUCGGAUUAGCUAGUUGGUUAGGUAAAGGCCUACCAAGGCGACGAUGCGUAGCUGGUCUGAGAGGAUGAUCGGCCACACUGGAACUGAGACACGGUCCAGACUCCUACGGGAGGCAGCAGUAGGGAAUCUUCCACAAUGGGCGAAAGCUUGACGGAGCAACGCCGCGUGAGUGAAGAAGGUCUUCGGAUCGUAAAACUCUGUUAUUAGGGAAGAAAAAAUGUGGAAUAAAAUCUGGACGUCUUGACGGUACCUAAUCAGAAAGCCACGGCUAACUACGUG
RNAcentral lists this ribosomal RNA (492 nucleotides) under uncultured bacterium. RNAcentral describes it as "partial 16S ribosomal RNA". It matches the Rfam family "Bacterial small subunit ribosomal RNA", at positions 28 to 507 of the family's 1533-position model. The record is from RNAcentral.